GCCAGCAGCCAUAUCAUCCUGCAACUCACUACUGGCAACCCACUGAAGCUCAACAGGUGUGAGCCUGGUCAGUACCUGGAUGGGAGACCUCCUGGGAAAAACUAAGGUUGCUGCUGGAA
Molecule: ribosomal RNA, 119 nt
Filed under: Lepisosteus oculatus (spotted gar)
Lineage: Eukaryota; Metazoa; Chordata; Actinopteri; Semionotiformes; Lepisosteidae
Source: RNAcentral